GACGAACGCUGGCGGCGUGCUUAACACAUGCAAGUCGAACGGAAAGGCCCUGCUUUUGUGGGGUGCUCGAGUGGCGAACGGGUGAGUAACACGUGAGUAACCUGCCCUUGACUUUGGGAUAACUUCAGGAAACUGGGGCUAAUACCGGAUAGGAGCUCCUGCUGCAUGGUGGAGGUUGGAAAGUUUCGGCGGUUGGGGAUGGACUCGCGGCUUAUCAGCUUGUUGGUGGGGUAGUGGCUUACCAAGGCUUUGACGGGUAGCCGGCCUGAGAGGGUGACCGGCCACAUUGGGACUGAGAGACGGCCCAGACUCCUACGGGAGGCAGCAGUGGGGAAUAUUGCACAAUGGGCGGAAGCCUGAUGCAGCAACGCCGCGUGCGGGAUGACGGCCUUCGGGUUGUAAACCGCUUUCGCCUGUGACGAAGCGUGAGUGACGGUAAUGGGUAAAGAAGCACCGGCUAACUACGUG
RNAcentral lists this ribosomal RNA (468 nucleotides) under uncultured bacterium. RNAcentral describes it as "partial 16S ribosomal RNA". It matches the Rfam family "Bacterial small subunit ribosomal RNA", at positions 28 to 507 of the family's 1533-position model. The record is from RNAcentral.